UAAGUGUUAAGUUAAGAAAACUAGAGGCCUUCAAAGCCUCAAUUGGUGAGAGCUAUACUUUA
This 62-nucleotide transfer RNA is filed under the name Mesobuthus gibbosus (Mediterranean checkered scorpion). Its description in RNAcentral is "transfer RNA-Trp". Lineage: Eukaryota; Metazoa; Arthropoda; Arachnida; Scorpiones; Buthidae. The record is from RNAcentral.